GCAGCACGGUGGCAUAGUGGUUAAUACGGUUGUCUCACAGCAAGAAGUUCGUGGGUUUGAUUCCGACCUGGGGCC
Non-coding RNA from Gymnothorax javanicus (giant moray), 75 nucleotides. The record is from the annotation of a GenBank genome assembly. Lineage: Eukaryota; Metazoa; Chordata; Actinopteri; Anguilliformes; Muraenidae.